Molecule: long non-coding RNA, 3189 nt
Filed under: Xyrichtys novacula (pearly razorfish)
Lineage: Eukaryota; Metazoa; Chordata; Actinopteri; Labriformes; Labridae
Source: RNAcentral
GGGGGAAAUGACUGAAGCUGGUCAUCUGCAGGGUUAUCUGUGGAUCAGUGGCGAUUGCUCUAAGACUGCAAGGGAAGCUCGGCUUCCCUUAAAAUGUCACCCCCCCAAAAAGAAGAAAAAGUGUUGAAAUACGUACGGCUGUGUGUACAUUUCAUUAACUAAAUACGCACUAGAAAGCCUUCAACUUUUGUUCAGACACUGUGAUAAGAAGCUGAUAAUCACAGGUAACCGGCAUAACUUCGUUCUCAUUCAUCCUCGCAGCGCCUCAGCGCUUCAAACAGUCGGACGCUGGGCUUCUGCUGACUUCAAUGUGGAAGCUUAAAGUGGGUUGUUCCAGCAGCGAAACUAGACGCUCAUUGGAUAAAUGCUGGGCUUUGUCCCGCCCAAUGGAAGCUAAGCUUCACUGGAGUUCUAUGGCGAGAGGGCGGUCCCGACUUUCUCCCGGACUCCAAGCUUCUGCAUUCAUGAUUGGAUGAGCUGUCUGAGGCGAAAUCCUUUUUUGAUUGACAGCUAAACAAGCGAAUCAGCGAUCUUGAAGAAUAAAACAGCUACCAGAGCAUUUUCCAAGUCAUUCAUUCCGUUGUUCUUAACUGCUCCAGAGACUUUACCGAUCCUCAGCGACUUUUGUCUUUGUUAAAAACGACUGCCGUUGUGUUUGGCGACUCUGUUCUGUUACAUACUAAUAAACAAAUACAAUUAUGAUGUAGGCCAGAAAAAUGAGCUUCCCCUCCUUGAAAGACCAGCAGCCGCCACUGCUGUGGAUGUAUCAGCGGGUCAUUCAGAGAGAUUUUGUGGUUUCUGAAGAAACAAUCAAACUGAUGAUGAUCAACAUUUGUGAUCCAGAGGGAGUCGAGCUCCGACGAGCACCAUGUCUCUGACACCGGCGGUAACCUACACCUGCAGAGACACCAACACCUUAUAAUGGCAUAUAAUAAUAACCCCCCGCCAUCUUCAUGCUGUGAUUUAUAAGGUUCCCUGACAGGCGUCACACUUGGUUUUGCAGUAUGAAGUUAUUCUUUGUCUUUGUUUUUGGACUCAGAUGUGGUUUCAGAGCAGCAGAGAUCGACUCCCUUUUUCCUGCUAAAUAAAUCAACGAGAGACUUUUGUACUGGGUCAGGUAUACGACCUCCAUUUGAGCCAUUUUCACUCAUACAUUUUUGGGCACCUCUUCUGAGAUGAUGAGAUACACCCUAAAGAAUGUGUGUACCAAAUUUGGUGCUUUUAUCCACCGCAUAACAAUUUGGCCAUUUUUUCAGGUUAACAGACCCUACUAUGAGGUGGUGUGUUCGAGUCUUUUUUGGGACAAGGUGAAUUUUGAAGUCUAGUGUCUAGACAGGAAAUUGAAAGAGGAAACAAAUGGUGUAAUCCUGUGUCUCCAAGUGGCUCAGAGGAUAAGAACACUGACUGGGAUUCCUGAGGUCAUAGGUUCGAGUCCAACCUUGCCCAGUUCUAAGUGAAUUUUGAAAUCUAGUGUCCACAAAGUACAGUGAUAUAUGAAAAAAAAAAACAUGAUGGUCUUCUGUGUCCACAUGGCUCAGGGGAUAAGGAGACUGACUGGUACUCCUGAGAUUGUGGGUUCAAGUCUUACCCUGUCCAGUUCUAGGAGAAUUUUAAAGUCUCGAGUCCACAAAGGACAGCGAUAUGUGAAAAAAGAACCUAAUUCUCUUGUGUGUCCACAUGGCUCACAGGAUAAGGAGACUGUCUGGGACUCCUGAGGUGGUGUGUUCGAGCCUUUUUUGGGACAAGGUGAAUUUUGAAGUCUAGUGUCUAGACAGGAAAGUGAAAGGGGAAACAAGUGGUAUAAUCCUGUGUGUCCAAGUGGCGCAGGGGCUAAGAACACUGGCUGGAACUCCUGAGGUCAUAGGUUCGAGUCCAACCUUGCCCACUUCUAUGUGAAUUUUGAAAUCUAGUGUCUAGACAGGAAAGUGAAAGAGGAAACAAGUGGUAUAAUCCUGUGUGUCCAAGUGGCUCAGAGGAUAAGAACACUGGCUGGAACUCCUGAGGUCAUAGGUUCGAGUCCUACCUUACCUAGUUUUAGGAGAAUUUUAAAGUCUCGAGUCCACAAAGGACAGCGAUAUGUGAAAAAAAACAUGAUUGUCUUGUGUUUCACGAGCUCACAUCUCACUGUGCAUUCCUUGACUUUUAUUUUAUAGGGUCUAUAUAUAGCCUUCCUCACAUGUGGAACAAUUUGAAGAAGUAUGCAAUUACAUUGGGCACAUUUAUAUGAUGCUUUCACACCUUGUCAUUCUUUCUUGUAACACAGAAUCACAUUGAAAAGUGCUUUCGUUCCAUUCAUUGAGUGUAUUUUAUUAACAUGCAAAGGACCAGAUGUUACUUGACUGUUAUGCUGCACAUUAAAAAACCCAUCAGAGUGGUUAUUAAUACCACAGGCCUGAAUAUUAUGCACAUCAAGGCUUGGCACAGGCCUUCAGACAACCUGCCGCUGGGUUAUACUCUAAAAGGUCCUUGUACUGUUUGAUCAAGUGUUAACUAAGCGGCUACUGAAGAAGGAUUUACUGUAUCUGCAGAGUUUGGGUGGCUAUAGGUAUUGUGUGUGUGUUUGGGAUAUAAAUGGAGUGUUUAUAAGUUUUUUAAACAUAGAUUUUCAUUUUAGCGUCACUUGAAAUAAAUUGCAAUUGAAAGUUGGAGCUUGGGGUGGAAAGAGAGUUUAAUAAAUGAGCAGAAAACUUGUUUUUUAUUUGCUUUUGAUUUUGUUUGUUGGUGAUUUUUCAGAUUGUGAUCUGCUUCCUGCUAAAACUAUGAAAGCCCCACUUAAAAAAAAAAGGUGGAAAAGUAAAAAAGAAAAAAAUUUAACUCAUAAUUAUGACUUAGCAUCAGGCCUCCAUAUAAAACCUCAUCCAUGAAGAAGAUGCUGAAGAUAACUUCAGAUCUGCAGCGUCCGACUCAGCUGUGAAGGCCAACGUAAAAAUGGUCGAUGGUCAGUCCGGGUUCUAGAUGAAUCCAAAUUUAAUCUCAGUGUUUGUUCAUUAAAACAGAAGUAACAACAUCCAGGAAGUUUAAUUUGGUACAUUAAAACAUUGCACUUUGAUUGUAAUAAUGUAUAAUAGUUUUUCUCAUCUCAGAGUCUUUAUUUGUAUCUCUGCUCAAGUGUUCUGUGUAUUUGUAUUUUUCACAUGAGAACUGAUAUUUUUCUGAAAUUACCAUUAAAAUGUAUUUUUCUUACAAGCA